GGAAGGAUCAUUACUGAACUGUCGACACGAGUUGUUGCUGGCCUUCAAAUGGGGGCAUGUGCACGCUCUGUUUACACAUCCACUCACACCUGUGCACCCUCUGUAGUUCUAUGGCGUGGGGGGCCCUGCCCUCCUGCUGUGGUUCUAUGUCUUUACACACACACACUGUGAUGAAGUCUUAUGGAAUGUACAUCGCGUUUAACGCAAUACAAUACAACUUUCAGCAACGGAUCUCUUGGCUCUCGCAUCGAUGAAGAACGCAGCGAAAUGCGAUAAGUAGUGUGAAUUGCAGAAUUCAGUGAAUCAUCGAAUCUUUGAACGCACCUUGCGCCCUUUGGCUAUUCCGAAGGGCAUGCCUGUUUGAGUAUCAUGAACACCUCAACUCUCAUGGUUUUGCUGUGAUGAGCUUGGACUUUGGGGGUCUUGCUGGCCUACGGUCAGCUCCUCUUAAACGAAUCAGCUUGCCAGUGUUUGGUGGCAUCGCAGGUGUGAUAACUAUCUACGCUUGUGGUUUUCCGUCAAGUAACCUUCAGCAAUGGAGGUUCACUGGAGCUCAUAAAGGCCUCUCCUCAGUGAGGAAUGGCUCCUUUUGAACGUUUGAUCUCAAAUCAGGUAGGACUACCCGCUGAACUUAA
This 635-nucleotide ribosomal RNA is filed under the name uncultured Thelephorales. RNAcentral's name for it is "eukaryotic LSU rRNA". The stretch from base 216 to 370 matches the Rfam family "5.8S ribosomal RNA". Lineage: Eukaryota; Fungi; Basidiomycota; Agaricomycetes; Thelephorales. The record is from RNAcentral.